GACGAACGCUGGCGGCGUGCUUAACACAUGCAAGUCGAGCGGUAAGGCCCUUUCGGGGGUACGACGAGCGGCGAACGGGUAGAGUAACACGUGGGUGGACCUCGCCCUUACGUCUCUGGGAGUAAGACCUCGGGAAACGUAGGGUCGUAAUACCGGAGUAUGACUCCAUGACGCAUGUUGUGGGGUGGGAAAGCCUUGUGCGG
This 203-nucleotide ribosomal RNA is filed under the name uncultured bacterium. RNAcentral's name for it is "partial 16S ribosomal RNA". It matches the Rfam family "Bacterial small subunit ribosomal RNA", at positions 28 to 218 of the family's 1533-position model. The record is from RNAcentral.